UGCCGUGCCCUGCGGGCGAGGCCCCAUGAACCAUGUCAGGCGGGGAACCGAGCAGCAUUAAGUGGAUCGCUUUGCCGCCGCAGACCGCUCGGUAUCC
This 97-nucleotide signal recognition particle RNA is filed under the name Clostridiales bacterium. Its description in RNAcentral is "signal recognition particle sRNA small type". It matches the Rfam family "Bacterial small signal recognition particle RNA". From Rfam's summary of the family: The signal recognition particle (SRP) is a universally conserved ribonucleoprotein involved in the co-translational targeting of proteins to membranes. Archaeal SRP consists of a 7S RNA and homologues of the eukaryotic SRP19 and SRP54 proteins. The record is from RNAcentral. Lineage: Bacteria; Bacillati; Bacillota; Clostridia; Eubacteriales.